Molecule: non-coding RNA, 88 nt
Filed under: Robertmurraya massiliosenegalensis
Lineage: Bacteria; Bacillati; Bacillota; Bacilli; Caryophanales; Bacillaceae
Description: Purine riboswitch
Rfam family: Purine riboswitch aptamer
About the family: Riboswitches are metabolite binding domains within certain messenger RNAs that serve as precision sensors for their corresponding targets. Allosteric rearrangement of mRNA structure is mediated by ligand binding, and this results in modulation of gene expression.
Source: RNAcentral
UGAAUAUAUCCAUUCACUCAUAUAAUCGCGGGGAUAAGGCCUGCAAGUUUCUACCAGUGUACCGUAAAUAUACUGACUAUGGGUGAGC